UCUAAAGGAACUGCCUACGCAAGUAGUGAGGAAGGCGGGGAUGACGUCAAAUCAGCACGGCCUUACGUCCAGGGCUACACACGUGCUACAAUGGCCGAUACAGAGGGCAGCUACCUGGUGACAGGAUGCAAAUCUCCAAAGUCGGUCUCAGUUCGGAUCGGAGUCUGCAACCCGACUCCGUGAAGUUGGAUUCGCUAGUAAUCGCGCAUCAGCCAUGGCGCGGUGAAUACGUUCCCGGGCCUU
Molecule: ribosomal RNA, 243 nt
Filed under: uncultured Sphingobacteriales bacterium
Lineage: Bacteria; Pseudomonadati; Bacteroidota; Sphingobacteriia; Sphingobacteriales
Description: partial 16S ribosomal RNA
Rfam family: Bacterial small subunit ribosomal RNA
Source: RNAcentral